Molecule: ribosomal RNA, 579 nt
Filed under: uncultured bacterium
Lineage: Bacteria
Description: partial 16S ribosomal RNA
Rfam family: Bacterial small subunit ribosomal RNA
Source: RNAcentral
UGGGGAAUUUUGGACAAUGGGCGAAAGCCCGAUCCAGCAAUGCCGCGUGUGUGAAGAAGGCCUUCGGGUUGUAAAGCACUUUUGUCCGGAAAGAAAUCCUUGGCUCUAAUACAGUCGGGGGAUGACGGUACCGGAAGAAUAAGCACCGGCUAACUACGUGCCAGCAGCCGCGGUAAUACGUAGGGUGCAAGCGUUAAUCGGAAUUACUGGGCGUAAAGCGUGCGCAGGCGGUUUGCUAAGACCGAUGUGAAAUCCCCGGGCUCAACCUGGGAACUGCAUUGGUGACUGGCAGGCUAGAGUAUGGCAGAGGGGGGUAGAAUUCCACGUGUAGCAGUGAAAUGCGUAGAGAUGUGGAGGAAUACCGAUGGCGAAGGCAGCCCCCAUGGGCCAAUACUGACGCUCAUGCACGAAAGCGUGGGGAGCAAACAGGAUUAGAUACCCUGGUAGUCCACGCCCUAAAACGAUGUCAACUAGUUGUUGGGGAUUCAUUCCUUAGUAACGUAGCUAACGCGUGAAGUUGACCGCCUGGGGAGUACGGUCGCAAGAUUAAAACUUAAAUGAAUUGACGGGGUCAUAGCU